AUUGAACGCUGGCGGCAGGCCUAACACAUGCAAGUCGAGCGGAUGAAGGGAGCUUGCUCCUGGAUUCAGCGGCGGACGGGUGAGUAAUGCCUAGGAAUCUGCCUGGUAGUGGGGGAUAACGUCCGGAAACGGGCGCUAAUACCGCAUACGGCCUGAGGGAGAAAGUGGGGGAUCUUCGGACCUCACGCUAUCAGAUGAGCCUAGGUCGGAUUAGCUAGUUGGUGGGGUAAAGGCCUACCGAGGCGACGAUCCGUAACUGGUCUGAGAGGAUGAUCAGUCACACUGGAACUGAGACACGGUCCAGACUCCUACGGGAGGCAGCAGUGGGGAAUAUUGGACAAUGGGCGAAAGCCUGAUCCAGCCAUGCCGCGUGUGUGAAGAAGGUCUUCGGAUUGUAAAGCACUUUAAGUUGGGAGGAAGGGCAGUAAGUUAAUACCUUGCUGUUUUGACGUUACCAACAGAAUAAGCACCGGCUAACUUCGUG
RNAcentral lists this ribosomal RNA (484 nucleotides) under uncultured bacterium. RNAcentral's name for it is "partial 16S ribosomal RNA". It matches the Rfam family "Bacterial small subunit ribosomal RNA", at positions 30 to 507 of the family's 1533-position model. The record is from RNAcentral.